RNAcentral lists this ribosomal RNA (497 nucleotides) under uncultured bacterium. RNAcentral's name for it is "partial 16S ribosomal RNA". It matches the Rfam family "Bacterial small subunit ribosomal RNA", at positions 28 to 507 of the family's 1533-position model. The record is from RNAcentral.
GAUGGACGCUGGCGGCGUGCCUAAUACAUGCAAGUCGAGCGAACAGACGAGGAGCUUGCUCCUCUGACGUUAGCGGCGGACGGGUGAGUAACACGUGGAUAACCUACCUAUAAGACUGGGAUAACUUCGGGAAACCGGAGCUAAUACCGGAUAACAUGUUGAACCGCAUGGUUCAACAGUGAAAGACGGUCUUGCUGUCACUUAUAGAUGGAUCCGCGCCGCAUUAGCUAGUUGGUAAGGUAACGGCUUACCAAGGCAACGAUGCGUAGCCGACCUUAGAGGGUGAUCGGCCACACUGGAACUGAGACACGGUCCAGACUCCUACGGGAGGCAGCAGUAGGGAAUCUUCCGCAAUGGGCGAAAGCCUGACGGAGCAACGCCGCGUGAGUGAAGAAGGUCUUCGGAUCGUAAAACUCUGUUAUUAGGGAAGAACAAAUGUGUAAGUAACUAUGCACGUCUUGACGGUACCUAAUCAGAAAGCCACGGCUAACUACGUG